AAUGUCAGCUGUGUUACUAGGCAACAUGGCUUAUGGUAAAAAUGACCCAUUGGUAAAUUGCUUGGGUCUGAGAGGGACUAAAAAUACCUGGAGAGUGGCUGUAACUUUGGACUUCUCCUAGUGUGGUGACUCCUGUAACCGAGCCUGUACCCCGUGGGGAUCCUAGAAACCUUGCUCAUGGGUGGUCAUACAAGUCUCCUGCAGAGAAGAGACACUCAUUCAUUUCUAACCUCAUCACAACCAACAUAGUAUAAUGCUUAUGAAAAGAUUGUCCUGAGAUACUGCAAAAGCCACGUACAGACAUGCAGUAUGUGUAGUGAUCCCGCCAGUCAAUUCGAAUAAUAAUAUGAAGAUUUACAAAUACAUGUUCCUGUGAGUUCAUCUACAGCAAAAUGAAAUAAAGAACUUAGUCAAUUGUACAGGUACAUUCAAAAAUGACUUUGCUACAAUUAUCUUGAUAUUUAGCCAUUUAUUGAUCAGUGGUGGGGAGAGGGGUUUGUUUGAACUCUCCAAAUAAAAGCCUUAAUGUUUUACUACCUUUC
Molecule: long non-coding RNA, 542 nt
Organism: Herpailurus yagouaroundi (jaguarundi)
Lineage: Eukaryota; Metazoa; Chordata; Mammalia; Carnivora; Felidae
Exons: 3
Source: RefSeq, a predicted model, not a curated record